GAUGAACGCUCGCGGCAGGCCUAAUACAUGCCAGUCGGACGGGAUCCAUUGAUAGCUUGCUAUCAAUGGUGAGAGUGGCGCACGGGUGCGUAACGCGUGAGCAACCUGCCUCCAUCAGGGGGAUAGCCUCUCGAAAGAGAGAUUAACACCGCAUAAUAUCAACAGUUCGCAUGUUCAGUUGAUUAAAUAUUUAUAGGAUGGAGAUGGGCUCGCGUGACAUUAGCUAGUUGGUAGGGUAACGGCUUACCAAGGCGACGAUGUCUAGGGGCUCUGAGAGGAGAAUCCCCCACACUGGUACUGAGACACGGACCAGACUCCUACGGGAGGCAGCAGUAAGGAAUAUUGGUCAAUGGGCGGAAGCCUGAACCAGCCAUGCCGCGUGCAGGAUGACUGCCCUAUGGGUUGUAAACUGCUUUUGUCCAGGAAUAAACCUAAAUACGAGUAUUUAGCUGAAUGUACUGGAAGAAUAAGGAUCGGCUAACUCCGUG
RNAcentral lists this ribosomal RNA (488 nucleotides) under uncultured bacterium. Its description in RNAcentral is "partial 16S ribosomal RNA". It matches the Rfam family "Bacterial small subunit ribosomal RNA", at positions 28 to 507 of the family's 1533-position model. The record is from RNAcentral.